AGUACAUAAUGACAUGAUUCAUUACUAGAUGAUAAGUAGGGUUCAUUCUCCUUGGUCAAUGUGCUAAGAUGAAAUAGGUCUAUCAAAGGAGAAUGGAGGGAGCAGUAACAUGCAUGUCGCGUAUAGUCAAUCUAAUAAUAGCCCACCCAUAUAACAAUUGGCUACUAAUGUAUACUACACCACUAAUAAAUGGCCCACAGUCUCAU
RNAcentral lists this long non-coding RNA (206 nucleotides) under Setaria viridis. RNAcentral describes it as "long non-coding RNA (SVIR_LNC007380)". Lineage: Eukaryota; Viridiplantae; Streptophyta; Magnoliopsida; Poales; Poaceae. The record is from RNAcentral.